This 1058-nucleotide long non-coding RNA is filed under the name Homo sapiens (human). Its description in RNAcentral is "long non-coding RNA NONHSAT165673.1". Lineage: Eukaryota; Metazoa; Chordata; Mammalia; Primates; Hominidae. The record is from RNAcentral.
AACAAAAUAUACACAAUUGAUUUAGGAAGGCAGCAGUGCAGGACAGAAUGAGAUCGAGAGGCAAAAUAGAUGACAUAGAUAAAUUCCUAUGUGAUGUCACAGUGCGAGGCUCAUUGUUGGUUGGCAUCCCUGGGAAAGGCACAGGAGCUGAGCUGGGCCUGUGAAUGAAUAGAAUCUGGACAGGGAUGAGGCAAGGAGACAGGAGUGAUCUCUCCACCCUGGGCCCAGGGUGCCUCCAGAAAGAACGCAGCCCUACUGACACCUUGGUUUUGGCCUGGUGAGACCAACUUUGGACUUUUCACUUCCAAAACUGUUUAAAGAAAAAAGUCUACAGUUCCAGUUAGUCUACUUUUGUAACAGGACCUGACAACUCCACUCUACUUCCAAUCCUGAAAGACUACAGGAAAAACUAGCCCAAGUGACUGAGCUGGGGGGUCCCAGUCAUCGGUAGCAUGGGUAUUUUGCUUUGGAAUAUUAUCAAAUAGCAGGGGGACCAGCACAGUGGACUUAGUGUCAAGUCUAGGAUUUGAUUCUUAGCUAACAAAACAAGUUUCCUCUCUGAGUUGUGACGAUUAAAUGCAAUAAAAUGGAAAAGUGCCCAGCAGUGAUGGGCUUUCAGGAGAAACGAAGAGUGCUCUGGACAGUGGGUGGAGAAGAUUCAAGUACAUCUUCCUUGCUGACAAUAUGCUCUCCUAUCUUUUGUAAGAGUACACAAUUUAAAUUUCUAAAAAUUCAUUACAAUACAAAGCAAAACAAUCCCUCGUAGAUUUAUAAUCAAACUAAUAUGCCACUUAGAAAAGAUUUGAAAUAAAUGCAAAUACCUAGGUACAAUAAUGAUUUUCAGAAAUGCCUUAGUUCUGGAGUUGAAGCGGCUGUGGUGGAUGGGAUUCUGGAUGGCGACGUAGCGGUCCAGCGAGAUGGCGCAGAGGUGCAUGAUGGAGGCCGUGGAUGAAGUUCUGAGGCCAAGAAAGGGUAGCUGAUUUCUCCACUGGUGGGAGUACCACUCAAAACUCAAACUCUCUGUCAAAGAAGAAGAAAUCUUCAGCAUUCUGCGGUCC